This 382-nucleotide long non-coding RNA is filed under the name Mustela putorius furo (domestic ferret). RNAcentral describes it as "lncRNA (ENSMPUG00000026525.1)". Lineage: Eukaryota; Metazoa; Chordata; Mammalia; Carnivora; Mustelidae. The record is from RNAcentral.
CACCUUGGGACACAGCAGGACGAAAUACGAGAUGAGCCGGGAGCAUCUUGUAGUGCCAGAAAGGAGCUGUGUUGGGUCCUUGGAACCUUGACCUCCACCCCCACUGGCCUUGCCUGUGACCUCAGCAUCUCUGUGAUUGACACUAAGCAAGCAACGGUCCUCCGUGGAGACCGAAAUGUGAGUGGACAUCCUGUACUUUCCCACCAAGCCUCCUUCCUCACCCCACCACCCCCACUCCUGCUCAUUCCCGCUCCCUAGCAGGGAGCCCCAGGGACACGGCGGGGGUAGGCUGCUCUGGACCCAGAGCACAGCUGCAACCUGGGACCUGGCAGAACAAAGCCUGUAGCUCAGUGAGCAGAAUCCUUCUGAAUCCACCUUCUGG